This 5152-nucleotide long non-coding RNA is filed under the name Callithrix jacchus (white-tufted-ear marmoset). Its description in RNAcentral is "lncRNA (ENSCJAG00000083267.1)". Lineage: Eukaryota; Metazoa; Chordata; Mammalia; Primates; Cebidae. The record is from RNAcentral.
GAAAAAAAAGAAGCAAAUGAUACCAAGACAAGCUACUAAGAGAGAUCUAAUCAGCAGAUGUGUACGGAUGAAAAUACAGUGAGAUGAGUCAGAAAACGGCCAAGGAGGGUCCCAGACUCUCCAAAAACCAGAGGUACUCCGAGCACUUCAGCAUCCACUGCUGCCCGCCGUUCACCUUCCUCAACUCCAAGAAGGAGAUAGUGGAUCGGAAAUACAGCAUCUGUAAGAGUGGCUGCUUCUACCAGAAGAAGGAGGAGGACUGGAUCUGCUGCGCCUGCCAGAAGACCAGAUUGAAAAGAAGGCUUAGGCCAACCCCAAAGAAGAAGUGACCAAGGAGGAGUUUAAAGUGAAUGGAUGGUCUCGGCUCCUGGACUCACUGCUUCACAACCCAUCUACCCUUGGACGAGUUAUCUGGCUUCAAAUAUUAUGCAAGGGCAAACACCUGCUGAUGCAGCAACUGCUGAUGCUCGUUGUCCCCAUGGCAUGAGGGCCUCAGGGCAGCCUGCCUGGAGAUGGUAUGUUGUGAUGUAUUCUCAGUGCCUGUGCCCACCUUGGAACUCUGUUCUUGCUGUUCAUGCCACAUGUGAUACUGUGGGCCAAGAUCUUUGCACGGGUACCUCAAAUAUCAUCUCAGAGGUGCUUCCCUUGAAAACUCGGUGCUAUUUCUAUAGUUGCUUUGUUUGAUCACUCUAAGUUUUGUUGUCUUCAUAGCACUUAUCACUCUCUGGAACUAUUCUGUUCAUUGAUUCACUUGCUUAAUGCUUGGCUUUUUCCUGUCCUAAUGUAAACUCCGUGACUGCCAACACCUGUUUACUUGCUACAGUACCCCCGUGGCCCCCCACCUCCCCAUUCCUGGCACUAGUAAGAACUCAAUAAACACUUGUUGAUGGAAUGAAUGUUUGUUUGUUGUUUUUUAUAGGAAUGUUUUUUCAAAAGUUCAGAUAUUUUCAAGAAGUCAAAGGUGUCUAUUGUAUUUAGCAACAGGGAACUGUUGGUGACCAUGUAGGACACUCUCCGUAUGACAUAAAUGGGAGGUGAGGAACAGGAAUUUGCAAUUAUAGAUGCAACUUGCUCCACUAGGCUUGACUUGGAAGGAAGGCAGAGGGGUAGGGCAAGGGCUGGAGUGUUGCACUUACUGAGAAGGCACGUGAGCACAUGGAAGUGCUGCUGGGAGGGUGGUGGCGGAGUGGGUGUGUGAAGGAGGGGUGGAUCUCUGAUGGAGCCAGCAGUGGAGGAGGUGAGGGGGCCAAAUCGGGGCCAGUGAGGAUCAGGCAUGGAGCAGGGGUGCCUUUUCACUGGAAAAGAGGGAAGGAGAAAAGGAGAGUGUGGAUUCUCGUGGAUUUGCAGACUUAGUAGCAGGACAUUGAGGCAGUUUCUGCCUGUGGUUUUGAUUUCUCCUGUAAAGUAGGAGAUGAGGUGGCCUGAUGGGGUGCUGGUGUUGGGGUCAGAGGCAUGAGGAUGAGAGAGAGGGUUAUAAAGACAUCAUUUCAAAUCAUGUAUUUGAAAUUGUCUAUAGAAUUCUUUCUCCAGAUGAAUUUGUAUUUUUAUUUAUUUAUUACAUAUUCAAGAUAACAUUUGCCACUACGUUUUUGCCCAUAACCUCAUAUUUAGAUUUAAAUUCUAGAUCUAAACUUGAGGCUCCUAUGGUUUCAGGUGGAAGAAAUAAGAGUUGGAGAAAGAAAUGCAGAGUCUAAUCUUCCCAGUGAAUAAAGGUUCAUGAGGAAACUUUGAUGAGGGGAAGCUAUAAAAAUUCCACCAGAUUGCAGGGAGAUGGAGCUGUGCUCUGAGACAGGAAUUUGCUCCCUGUCCAUCUAGGCUGCUGUUCUUACACCAAAGAGUGAGUUAUAAAAGGUUAAGCAGUCCAAUAUUUCUCUCCCUGUGUAGGAAACCAUUUCCUGAUGUGAGGUGGGUUUGAACCCAAUUAUAAUGGACUUAAACUCAGGGCUGGAAACUCAGGGCUGGAAGGGCCCUGGCGGGGGAAGGGGGCUUCCUGCCUGACUCCACUGCACAGGUCUCUGUCCCGUUAAUACCACCAUUGCCAGGUACUUACUAUCUCUGCUUGAGUAAAAUGAAGUGUCCUUAGUGGACAAAGAUGAUACUGUUGACACAAGAGUAGGGUGUGCAGUUGUUGCUUGGAGAGAAUUUGCAUCCUCUUAUUGCAGUACAGGUACACACUUGCAGGAAUGCUUGGGUAAGGAGAGUGAUAAAAUAACUUCUUAUCGAGCAUCAACUAUGCAUUCACCUUAUAUCACAGGGUACUUUGUGUUUGUAAACGCGAAACAGGAGAAGUUGUCAUGACCCCCAUGGCCACUGAAACCAUGGCCUUUACCGUACCACCACCAUGUGGCAAUCCAGAAGUUUCUAAACAGAGAAUGGUUUAGAGUACCCAGGGGUACUUGGAGAUGCCACUGUAUGAGAUAAGAGGAAGGUGGAGCCAGCAGGACUCCAGGCCACACCUUCACAUCAACAAAAGUAGUGUUUAGUGUCUGUGUUGACUUCUAACUUUAUGUAGAUAAAGGAUUCCACUGGAGCCAAAGAGUCUGACUACACUUUCACAAAUGCAACAAAUAUUGAUAGAAUCCUUAUGUCAAGUGACUUUCUAAAUGGUUUACUGCAUUAAAGAGUGUACUAUUUGACAAUGCAGGUUUGAGUUUAGUUGGCUGGUAUUUCAGUGACUAUUCAUUUCCUCUGAGGCAACAGUUUACCUAUCACCAAGUUCAGUGCUUCGACCUUGAUCAACUGACUGGGUUUCUCCAAAGUACAGAUGAGCAAAAGAACACAGAUUAGAAAACAGUCCUGAUAAUUAGUCCUGCAUUUUUAGUUUUAAACAGAUUUAUGUAAAAGCAUUAUAUUUUACAAGGCACUAAAAUCCGUUUCUGUUGCCCAAGCUUCAUUGACAUAUAAACGACAUUGGUAAACACAAAAUAGAUUUGAGGAGAGUGGAGAAAAUAGGAAUCUACAGCUUAAGUCAUGGUCUUACUUCAUAGCAAAUCUGUUAUCUAUCAGAUUUCUAUCGUUUGGCGCAAAAAGAUCUCUUAAUAAAACUAAGUUCUAAGAAAGUAUUAGAUAGUCUGAUUACCAACAUUCGUAUUGGAUUUUGAAGCAUAUGAACUCUCUUACGAGUCAAUUCAUAAUCUGAGGCUGGAGAUCUGUGGGACCCAGUAGUGGUAUCUGGAGAGGCUGGUGGGUCCCUCUCUAGAACCCAAAAGGUGUAAGGAUUUUGUAGAGGGAAAGGUAAAUAAUGCCAAGUAGCUGGGGUCUAGGAAGAAAGUUUUCUCUUGGGCAAGAGGGUGUAAGUUCCUAAAGUUCCUUCAGCGGGAUGUUGGUCCUUUAGUUAGGAGGUUUAAAAUCACCAGGAAGAAAGGGUGAGGAGAAACGUCUGGGCCCAUGUUUGAGAGGGUGGCUGAUGGUUGUGGAAGUCCUUUCUUCGAUGAGUUAAUGAUGCAUAUUUCUGAUAAAGACGGGAAGUUAUUUAUGUCAGCAUUAACUAAAUCUACCCUUCAUGCAGAAAGGAAGAGCUCCUGGGCCAUUCUCUAUUAAUGAAACCAUACCAUUGUCGAUAUUAGAGUGUCUGUGAAAUACACUGAAAAUACUUCCCUGUCUCAGGUAGUGGCCAAUGCUACCUCCAGGCAGUUUUCCUUGAUUAAUGAUGCAAUGGAGAUAUCCUAUUGCAUCCACCAUCAAGGAGAGUUGGGCAGUCUGUCAUUCAGAGGAAGUGGGACUCAAUAGACAUUCUGACUAUGUAUUAAUCCAGUCAUGUUUACAUGCAGGUCAGAGGGCAAAGCUUUUCUUUACACCUCAUAUAUCCUUCUCUUCCUAGGUGGAAGUCCAUUCACAACUACUUCACUGCUAGCAGACCUUUUUCCUAACAAGAACAGGUGGAUGGCAGAGUGGGGAUUAGAACACCUCAGCACUCACAGGGGCGUCCUAUGGGAGCCAGGAUGGCUUCUAGGACAUCUUACUGAUGGAAGUUAUUUAGUGGAUCUUGGAUUUGAUUUGAUUUUUCUAAUCUCUUAAGCACAUUGAUCUUUGGGUUUGUUGCCUGUAAUUUUUGUCUUAGGAAGGCAGCAUCCUUCUUUCCUGGAAGAAAUCUUGAUGCAUAAAAAGAAAAGACCUGGUAUCCUGCCCUGUUUUUGUUCUCAUGGAGAGUCAACAGAUUUUCACAUAAUCUGCUUUUACUAUAACUCACCCUCCAUUUCCUGAAUUCUUUGUGAACAUCCCUUUUUCCUGUGAGCUGACAGCUUCUGUUCUUUUUCUUGGAGCUUAGGAGCUUUUUGAGUCAGAUCCUUUAGCAAAGCCCUCGUUUUCUGCCGAUGGAGAUCAUUAAGGAUCUUUACCGCCAGCUUCAAGAGUUUGCAUUUAUUUUCAACUAGAGCAUCGACUGGCUGCAGUAAAACAAAUUUUUCCAAGUUUAAAAUUCUUUUCUUCCAGCUGAUGCCUCGCUGGCAAUUAUUUGGCUUAGACUACAAAUGGCAUCGUUUUUUUUUUUUCCAGUUCUUGUUAAUAUGGAUUUUGGCAUUGUCUGAUGAGCCUACCUUUUCAUCUUCUUACCAUGGUAAUCUGCCAGUUAACCCUUUGUUUUCAAAUCAUCUAGUUCAUUUCCUUUCCUAGGAGUUUUCUCCUCUGACUCAAAGAUCAAGAUCACUUGGUUUCAGCUAUCUAGUGUAUCUAUUCAUCACUACAAUGCAUUAUUUUCCUAAACCACAGCUUCUUUCUGAGACUUGAGAUCUUACCGGAUCUGCUCACUACCUCAGUAGGUAGAGGGUGGGACAGGAGCAGUUAAGGGCAGAAAGAGGCCACAGCCUUCUAUUUACUGCAGCCUCCACGUACCCCUCCAAACAAUCUGUACUGCCACCUCCUUCUCUUCUAACUCCUAUUUUCCAUCUCUUUCUUCACCUCAAUGCACACACAUCUCGGAUCACAAUAACUUUCUUUUUUUUUUUUACAACUUAAAUUUGCAGACCUUGGUUUAUAGAUUCAUAGCAGAGCUACUUAACAACCUUUCUAUAUUUUUAUUGCUCUGGACUUAUACCCGCUUCAUGCUUUCUCUCUCCAGAUCUUGUCCCUGGCUGUUAACUCUGAUUCUUCCCAAACCAGCCCUACGCUGACUUAACACAGCUUCCUACCAUCAGACCGCCAGCAAUGAUGCCUG